CCCGGCUGCCUACGUCUUUACCCUGGAGUUCAUCGAGCUGUUUCUUCCCUCUGCUUUUUCUUUGUUAGAGGAUGAGAUUUUCCAAGCAGCAGGACUGUUGUUCUGAACAGUAACGUUGCCUGGGAAUUGGCCACGGGGACGGUUUUCCCUGAGCAGGUUUAGGUUGGCAGGUUGCUCUCUUUAGCCUCCCGGCACCUGGACUCCCUCAGGAACAUCUGCCGCAGGAGCUGAAUUCAGCGCUUGCCAAGGGCCCCAGAGUCACCCAGGGGAUGAAAAGCCCACACUAAAUACACUGCUGAGGAAAACACCAAACACCGAGUCACCAUCCAGACACAGGAACAUGCACAGCAACCCAUGGGCCAAGGCACUCAUCGUGCUGCAUUCUGUGCUUUGAUGGUCAGGGUCUGAAGGGUCAAAUACAACCGACACGUGUGAUCACAUUCGUCCUGGGCCAGAGAGUUGUCCCUGACCUCAGGAUUUAUGGACCUGACAUCUUCAACACCUGCAGAGAGUCCACAACCGUACUGGCUUCUCCAGUUCCUGAAUUCCAACCCAUCCACAACGAAGGAGCCUGCACUAGACUCCAUGUCCUGAACCUUGUGCAGCUGAACUACUGCCGUGCCACCAUCAAGGUCUGAAAAUCUCACCUUUCUGGAACCACGUACAGAUGCCCGAUCGCUGCUGCACAAAGCCAACCCCCAUGCUGUUCUUCCCUGACAUCUCCUCUGCCAGGAGUUCCCUUCCUGAUGAUUCUAAUGCUGAAACAGGUCAAUUGUUGACCACAACUUUCAAUAAAGCGCCUUAGCAUGGAUUAA
Columba livia (rock pigeon) is the source of this 815-nucleotide long non-coding RNA. RefSeq lists it as uncharacterized. The transcript has 2 exons. The record is from RefSeq and is a predicted model, not a curated record. Lineage: Eukaryota; Metazoa; Chordata; Aves; Columbiformes; Columbidae.